GAAAGCCGCGGUCGGGAAUUACUCAGCUUGUAUACUCGGUAAAGCGUUGAAUUGCUACUAUCAUAGAGGCCCUAAUUACUUAGAAAUCGACGUGGAUAUCGGUAGCUCAGCGAUUGCUAGCGCUAUUUUGCACUUGGCGUUAGGUUCGGUAACGUCGGUGACGAUCGAUAUGGGUUUUCUGGUUGAGUCACAGACGGAGGAAGAGUUGCCGGAAAAGUUAUUUGGGGCAGUUAGGAUUUGUCAAAUGGAGAUGAGCUCUGCUACGUUUAUUGAUACGACGUCGUCAAGGAAGGUAUUACCGACUGCUAAUUUACAUAAUCCUUGCAAUAGUAGCAAAGUCCAAGCUGAGGAGAACGGUGAGAACAAAGAUGAUUAAGAAGAAAUUAAAACAAAAUUACUUCAUAUUAUUCUUAGGGGAAAAAAAUUGUUGGUGCAAUCCAUGUAGAUAGAUGUCUAAGCUUAAGCUUUCAUUGUUCAAUAAAAAGUUCAUCUCUUACUUUUCUUAACUAUCAUUUAAGUUACUUAUAAUUUACUAAUUUU
This 540-nucleotide unclassified non-coding RNA is filed under the name Hevea brasiliensis (rubber tree). Lineage: Eukaryota; Viridiplantae; Streptophyta; Magnoliopsida; Malpighiales; Euphorbiaceae. The record is from RNAcentral.